AUACUUACCUGGCAGGGGAAACACCAUGAUCAGGAAGGUGGUUUUCCCAGGGCGAGGUUCACCCAUUGCACUGCGGGUGUGCUGACCUCUGCGAUUUCCCCAAAUGUGGGAAACUCGACUGCGUAAUUUGUGGUAGUGGGGGACUGCGUUCGCGCUCUCCCCUG
Molecule: small nuclear RNA, 164 nt
Filed under: Sus scrofa (pig)
Lineage: Eukaryota; Metazoa; Chordata; Mammalia; Artiodactyla; Suidae
Description: U1 spliceosomal RNA (ENSSSCG00070008104.1, ENSSSCG00160045700.1, ENSSSCG00160045710.1)
Rfam family: U1 spliceosomal RNA
About the family: U1 is a small nuclear RNA (snRNA) component of the spliceosome (involved in pre-mRNA splicing). Its 5' end forms complementary base pairs with the 5' splice junction, thus defining the 5' donor site of an intron. There are significant differences in sequence and secondary structure between metazoan and yeast U1 snRNAs, the latter being much longer (568 nucleotides as compared to 164 nucleotides in human).
Source: RNAcentral